GGGAAUAUUGCGCAAUGGGGGAAACCCUGACGCAGCAACGCCGCGUGAGUGAUGAAGGUCUUCGGAUCGUAAAGCUCUGUCGGCAGGAACGAUGAGUGAGACAGCUAAUAUCUGUCAUACUUGACGGUACCUGCAAAGGAAGCACCGGCUAACUCUGUGCCAGCAGCCGCGGUAAUACAGAGGGUGCAAGCGUUGUUCGGAAUCAUUGGGCGUAAAGGGCGCGUAGGCGGUCCUAUAAGUCGUAUGUGAAAGCCCAGGGCUCAACCUUGGAAGUGCAUAUGAUACUGCAGGACUCGAAUCUCGGAGAGGGUGGUGGAAUUCCCAGUGUAGAGGUGAAAUUCGUAGAUAUUGGGAGGAACACCGGUGGCGAAGGCGACCACCUGGACGAAGAUUGACGCUGAGGCGCGAGAGCGUGGGGAGCAAAC
Molecule: ribosomal RNA, 425 nt
Filed under: uncultured bacterium
Lineage: Bacteria
Description: bacterial SSU rRNA
Rfam family: Bacterial small subunit ribosomal RNA
Source: RNAcentral